GCUGUGGUGGCUGAGUGGUGAAGGUGUUGGACUUGCAAUCCUAUUGCGUUUACCUGUGCAGGUUCAAGUCCUGCUCACAGCA
This is a non-coding RNA of Passer domesticus (house sparrow), 82 nucleotides long. The record is from the annotation of a RefSeq genome assembly. Lineage: Eukaryota; Metazoa; Chordata; Aves; Passeriformes; Passeridae.